CUCUCUGUCUCAAAAAUAAAUAAAUGUAAAAAAAAAUUUUUUUAACAACAUGUCCCGCAACUGUUUAUACAAUACCUCGUUCCAGGGAGGUACAUGGCUAAUCAGGGCACCUAUUUCCUACUGUCAUACUUAAUUGGAAGUUUUGCUCACAAGGUUAAAUUACAGCAAGCAUUGUGUGUCACUGUGAAAAUACUCCCUUCCGCUUUAAUGGCACAUGGGUGGACGAAAAUGCUUCUAAGGCUGCCUGAAAGGACACCAGGCUCCUGUGGGUUCUUGCUGUCUUCCGCCAAUACUUUUUCAUUUUCCUUUAACAACGGCAGUAGUAAUAACAUUGGUCCAAGAAGAAGUUAGUAGAGAAAAAUAAAGACCAAGCAUCUGAUAUUCACAACCUGACGCAACAGAAGAGUGGAAUAUAAACAUACACAAAUUAAUUUAAGCCCAUAGAAAAUCUCUCAAACUGUGUAGCCUACAGCACAUCUCCUCUUGUCCACAACAUUCCAUCAGGCCAGCGGAACAUCAUCAUCAUCAUUAUAGCUUGUACAUACUGAGUGCUAACCCUGUGCCAGGCAUUGUGCCAAGGGUUGUCAUGACAACUCACUUAACCCCGUAAGAAGAGUGCCAUCAUAAUUUCCAUUGUCAAAGGAACGGGAUGUACAUCUAGGACCGCCUAACCUCAAGCCCCAGCUCAAGAGCACAGUGGGAGGAUUGAGGCUUGGAUGGAGAUGGAAUGCAUCGUUUUCAAUAUACUGUCUCAUUGCCAUCAUACUGUCUUCUAAGCCCUCCAUUACCCGCCCUCUGCUUGACGGUAGAGACCAAAGUGUGUGUUCGUACCACCAGCGUUUUGCAAAGCAGUUACGCACGAACAGAAAGUCCCGCGGACGCUCCAUGAUGAGUGGCACCUAAGCUGUCCGGUUCUUCGGGUUUUCCCAGCGCAGAGCCCGGUACUAGAAACUCCCAAGGGACUUACCUGCCUUGUGCAAGGAAUUCCCCAUAAGCCCAGAGCCCAGCAGAGAGGAGGCACUCCAUACAGCUUUCCAACCACCAACUGCUGAAGGAGGCUCAGGUUAAGUCAUUCUCUUCAGGCUCCAGGAUAAGCGGGUCCGGUUUGUAGGUUACAGCCUUAUCUGGGGACCCUCGUUUUCCACCCCAGCUACACGUCUGUGAACAAUCGCCUCUCCGGCCCCUGAAAGGAGAGCGAGCGCCCCAUUUCUGCUGAAUGCACGUCUCAGUUCAUCCAAGGCUGGCGGGCUUUUGAUGGCCACAAUGCGAGUUACGCCCAAAGAGUGUCUCUUUGGUCAGAUCGACAACGCUUGGCUUCACGUUUGCAAGUUAAACGGGCAGAAACCCGGCUGAAACUCCCACGCCAGACGCCGGGGACGCUUCCCUCCGCCCAGUAGCUGCUUUCCUCCAGCCCCUGAAAAUGUGACUCCUUCAUAAAAUCAAAAUUUAUGAUUAUUCAAAUGUUGGGGACUGUGAAAAGAGAGGAAGAAAGAGAGAAAAUUAAUAUUGCAGCUGUUCUUCUGAUUAAUGAGAGAUAAUUGCUCAUGAAAAGUCACCCCUGUGGCAUUUUGUUGUCUCCUGGAUCUUUGUUCUUUUCCACUAUUAUUGAGGACUUUCUUGAAGACUAAGCGGUUCUUUUCAAUUUUUGGGUAUUCAGAAAGGGUUGCCUGGUUACAGAGAAUGGGGAAAUCUCGGGCUAUAUCGGGUAAGAUGUGCCAAAGACAGCAAUAUCACAAUGCCACUCGGAGAAAAGGAUGGAUACAAGUUAACGAUGCGCUUUCAAUAAAACAUUCAUAGACUUGUUCACGCUUUGAUAAUGACCUCAUUAAAGGGAGCUGGGGGCAAGUAAGUCCUGUCUCCUGUUUGUGUUCGGCUAACAAAACCCAGCUUUGAGAUCAUUCAUCGCUUUGGAAACUAAUAUGAAAUCAAUGUAA
This is a long non-coding RNA of Leopardus geoffroyi (Geoffroy's cat), 1934 nucleotides long. RefSeq lists it as uncharacterized. The transcript has 4 exons. The record is from RefSeq and is a predicted model, not a curated record. NCBI's taxonomy places the organism in Eukaryota, Metazoa, Chordata, Mammalia, Carnivora, Felidae.